UAACCCCAUACACAGCCGCAGCCCCAGCUACCUAGUGGGAUUGAUAUCGAUAGCCCCUACGCGCUAUUUUCUCUAUUUUUCAGCGAGGAUAUCUUCGAAUAUAUUAGCCAGUCAACUCAUGAAUAUGCUAAGUGGAAACAAGAGUGAGAGGCAGAUCAGAGCGAGAGCCCUGAGAACCAGGCUAGCAGUUGCCGUGCCUGGAAGGGUACUACAGCAGCAGAUGUUAAGGUCUUUAUUGGUAUUCUGAUAUACGUGGGUGUCCACACUUCGCCACGUAUAGACCUCUAUUGGCUCCAGGAUCCCUAUCAAGGGCCAAUUCAUACACCUCGCCUCUGCUUUGAGCAAAUUAAGCGCUUUCUGCAUAUCUCUAGGCCAACUAGCGCAGGUAACCACCAGCCAGGAGAUAAGCGCUGGUGGUAUAAGCUAGAAUCUCUAGCUUCUACAUUCGAGAGAGCAGCUAGGCAGUACUACCAGCCAG
Molecule: small RNA, 478 nt
Filed under: Histoplasma capsulatum var. duboisii H88
Lineage: Eukaryota; Fungi; Ascomycota; Eurotiomycetes; Onygenales; Ajellomycetaceae
Description: Histoplasma capsulatum H88 hypothetical RNA
Source: RNAcentral